RNAcentral lists this ribosomal RNA (253 nucleotides) under uncultured bacterium. Its description in RNAcentral is "partial 16S ribosomal RNA". It matches the Rfam family "Bacterial small subunit ribosomal RNA", at positions 524 to 776 of the family's 1533-position model. The record is from RNAcentral.
UACGAAGGGGGCUAGCGUUGCUCGGAAUCACUGGGCGUAAAGGGUGCGUAGGCGGGUCUUUAAGUCAGGGGUGAAAUCCUGGAGCUCAACUCCAGAACUGCCUUUGAUACUGAAGAUCUUGAGUUCGGCAGAGGUGAGUGGAACUGCGAGUGUAGAGGUGAAAUUCGUAGAUAUUCGCAAGAACACCAGUGGCGAAGGCGGCUCACUGGCCCGAUACUGACGCUGAGGCACGAAAGCGUGGGGAGCAAACAGG